AAACAAGAAAAGAGAAUAAGUAAGGAGACCAAAUAAGGACUGAGUGCCCAAGGACGGGUCAAGUGCUUAGAAAAUCACCCAGCUGGUUAGGCUGGGCUGGGAGAAGGGCCAUAGCCGGACCCGAAAGGGGACCAUCAGAAAGACAGAGGCAGGCCAUUGAAGUAGCCAGUGACGGAGGUAAAAAUGAAAAAAAAAAAAAAAUAGAAGAUGGAAAAGGUGAGAGGCAGGAGAGGGAAAACCCAGAGGAGACACUGGCCCAGAAACCUUUUUAACUUUCUGUAAGAAUCUUCAAGGCCCCAAACUAGGCCAGGAGUCUGACUGACAUUUCUGAGCUCACCAGCUGCUGUUUCCUUGAGAGAAUUCUGACAGGAAGGCAUAGAAAUGCAAGCCAACACUGCUAGCACUGGGGAAAAAAAAAAAAAAAGAAAGAAAAAUCCAUGCUCUAAACACCUUAAUGGGGAUGAGGCUGCCAGGGAAGAAGGCACGGAGAGAAGGGACCCGCCGGCAACUUUUCCCCAGGCUUGGACCAGCGAUGCUUGGGCGGUACCCAGGAAUCCUCACCCUAGAGGCUACAGUCACCUCCUGCAGGAGCUGCCCCCUGCUCUGGCUGGUCAAACGGAACCAAGUCCGUCUUCCUGAGAGGUUUGGUCCCCUUCAACCAGCUAUAGCAGGGCUGGCAAAGAACAGUCCUUGGAGGAACAGAAGAGAUUCCACUGUGGCUGAAAUUACCUGCUAACAUUUCCCUUAAGAAACCAACUCUGAUUUUGUUAUCACCCUCUCAUGUUCCCAGGAAGGAAGAAGGGGGGAGGCCAGGGUUUAAAAAUGAGCCAGAUUACCAUGCCCAACACACAGAGCUCUGUGUCUGUGUCCACAACUAGACCUAUUUGCACGCUCUCGACACACAGUAAUAGUUCUAGAAUGGGAUGUGUUUUGGCCCUGGGCCAGCCAGGGGAAGAGUAUGAGCCCCAGAAGAUAGGGCUCCUGCUCCAAGGAAAGAAAUUGGGCAUAUGAGUCAGUUCCUGCUGUGGUUUAGAAGGUUAAGAACCCGGCUGUUAUUCAUGAGGAUGCGGGUUUGAUCCCUGGCCCCACUCAGUGGGUUAAAGCUCUGGCAUUGCUGCAAGCUGAGACAUAAGUUGCAAAUGAGGCUCAGAUUCAGUGUUGCCAUGGCUGUGGCAUAGGCCUGCAGCUGCAGCUCUGAUUGGACUCCUUGUCUAGGAACUUCCAUAUGCUACAGGUGCGGGCCUAAGAAGAAAAAAAG
This 1258-nucleotide long non-coding RNA is filed under the name Sus scrofa (pig). RNAcentral's name for it is "lncRNA (ENSSSCG00025047290.1)". The stretch from base 599 to 671 matches the Rfam family "mir-133 microRNA precursor family". Lineage: Eukaryota; Metazoa; Chordata; Mammalia; Artiodactyla; Suidae. The record is from RNAcentral.